This 269-nucleotide ribosomal RNA is filed under the name uncultured archaeon. RNAcentral describes it as "partial 16S ribosomal RNA". It matches the Rfam family "Archaeal small subunit ribosomal RNA", at positions 477 to 747 of the family's 1478-position model. The record is from RNAcentral.
CAGCACCUCAAGUGGUCAGGAUGAUUAUUGGGCCUAAAGCAUCCGUAGCCGGCGCUGUAAGUUUUCGGUUAAAUCUGUACGCUCAACGUACAGGCUGCCGGGAAUACUGCAGCGCUAGGGAGUGGGAGAGGUAGACGGUACUCGGUAGGAAGGGGUAAAAUCCUUUGAUCUAUUGAUGACCACCUGUGGCGAAGGCGGUCUACCAGAACACGUCCGACGGUGAGGAUGAAAGCUGGGGGAGCAAACCGGAUUAGAGACCCGUGUAGUCC